UGAGCAUAUAUGUGAAGCCUCUGUCUAUUCUUUUCUUUGUGACACAAUUAUCUUGGGCUGACUGGACCAUUGUUCUCUACCUUUCUUUUCCUGUAAUAAUAAUUGAUGAGGUGCUGAAGUUCUUUUCAAGAAAUCCCAAAGGUAUAUUUUAUUCUAUUGCAUUGUGCAUGUCAUGUUAAGGAUUA
Molecule: long non-coding RNA, 185 nt
Organism: Telopea speciosissima
Lineage: Eukaryota; Viridiplantae; Streptophyta; Magnoliopsida; Proteales; Proteaceae
Exons: 3
Source: RefSeq, a predicted model, not a curated record